This 693-nucleotide ribosomal RNA is filed under the name uncultured bacterium. RNAcentral describes it as "bacterial SSU rRNA". It matches the Rfam family "Bacterial small subunit ribosomal RNA", at positions 64 to 744 of the family's 1533-position model. The record is from RNAcentral.
GAACGGAGAUAUCAUUUUCGAAGCGAUUAGUUUACUAAGAGCGGAGAUGUUGCUAUCUUAGUGGCGGACGGGUGAGUAACGCGUGGGUAACCUGCCUUGCACUGGGGGAUAACACUUAGAAAUAGGUGCUAAUACCGCAUAACAGUAGGAGACGCAUGUCUUUUACUUGAAAAUUCCGGUGGUGUAAGAUGGACCCGCGUCUGAUUAGCUUGUUGGCGGGGUAACGGCCCACCAAGGCAACGAUCAGUAGCCGGCCUGAGAGGGUGAACGGCCACAUUGGGACUGAGACACGGCCCAAACUCCUACGGGAGGCAGCAGUGGGGAAUAUUGGACAAUGGGGGGAACCCUGAUCCAGCGACGCCGCGUGAGUGAAGAAGUAUUUCGGUAUGUAAAGCUCUAUCAGCAGGGAAGAAAGAAAUGACGGUACCUGACUAAGAAGCCCCGGCUAACUACGUGCCAGCAGCCGCGGUAAUACGUAGGGGGCAAGCGUUAUCCGGAUUUACUGGGUGUAAAGGGAGCGUAGACGGCGAUGCAAGUCUGAAGUGAAAGGCGGGGGCCCAACCCCCGGACUGCUUUGGAAACUGUAUGGCUGGAGUGCAGGAGAGGUAAGUGGAAUUCCUAGUGUAGCGGUGAAAUGCGUAGAUAUUAGGAGGAACACCAGUGGCGAAGGCGGCUUACUGGACUGUAACUGAC